UACCAAUUGUUAUAAAACAAUGAUAAACCCAUUUGUUGGAUGACAUAUCAAGUGUACCAAAAGUUAUUUUAUUAAUAGUGAUACAAAUUGUUAUUUUUAGUAGAGCAUAUUACAACCGAGUGUUGACUGUUAACAGAUCAACCAUACAUCGAAUUUUGAAGAACAUACCAACCAUUAUCCAGACCAAAGGAUGUGUUCAUCAAGAGACGAUUUUUAACAGAAGGAUUUUUGUCAAUCGUUAGAAACAUGAGACAUCUCAAUUAUUUUUUCAAAACUGAGGAUAGCAUUCAUAAAAAACGUGAGUGAAAACUUUUUGAAGGAUAUGCUGAUAGAUAAUACACACCACACAGUAUACUAACAGUUAUUUAAACCACAGAUAGCAA
RNAcentral lists this long non-coding RNA (383 nucleotides) under Nicotiana benthamiana. RNAcentral's name for it is "long non-coding RNA (NBEN_LNC024826)". The record is from RNAcentral. Lineage: Eukaryota; Viridiplantae; Streptophyta; Magnoliopsida; Solanales; Solanaceae.